RNAcentral lists this non-coding RNA (45 nucleotides) under Schistosoma margrebowiei. Lineage: Eukaryota; Metazoa; Platyhelminthes; Trematoda; Strigeidida; Schistosomatidae. The record is from RNAcentral.
AUCCAGCUGAGGAGUCCAAAAUAACACGAAAGGCGCGUCCUGGAU